Molecule: ribosomal RNA, 701 nt
Filed under: Staphylococcus aureus
Lineage: Bacteria; Bacillati; Bacillota; Bacilli; Caryophanales; Staphylococcaceae
Description: partial 23S ribosomal RNA
Rfam family: Bacterial large subunit ribosomal RNA
Source: RNAcentral
CGUGUGCUUACAAGUAGUCAGAGCCCGUUAAUGGGUGAUGGCGUGCCUUUUGUAGAAUGAACCGGCGAGUUACGAUUUGAUGCAAGGUUAAGCAGUAAAUGUGGAGCCGUAGCGAAAGCGAGUCUGAAUAGGGCGUUUAGUAUUUGGUCGUAGACCCGAAACCAGGUGAUCUACCCUUGGUCAGGUUGAAGUUCAGGUAACACUGAAUGGAGGACCGAACCGACUUACGUUGAAAAGUGAGCGGAUGAACUGAGGGUAGCGGAGAAAUUCCAAUCGAACCUGGAGAUAGCUGGUUCUCUCCGAAAUAGCUUUAGGGCUAGCCUCAAGUGAUGAUUAUUGGAGGUAGAGCACUGUUUGGACGAGGGGCCCCUCUCGGGUUACCGAAUUCAGACAAACUCCGAAUGCCAAUUAAUUUAACUUGGGAGUCAGAACAUGGGUGAUAAGGUCCGUGUUCGAAAGGGAAACAGCCCAGACCACCAGCUAAGGUCCCAAAAUAUAUGUUAAGUGGAAAAGGAUGUGGCGUUGCCCAGACAACUAGGAUGUUGGCUUAGAAGCAGCCAUCAUUUAAAGAGUGCGUAAUAGCUCACUAGUCGAGUGACACUGCGCCGAAAAUGUACCGGGGCUAAACAUAUUACCGAAGCUGUGGAUUGUCCUUUGGACAAUGGUAGGAGAGCGUUCUAAGGGCGUUGAAGCAUGAUCGU